This 657-nucleotide ribosomal RNA is filed under the name Flavobacterium sp. S149.08.SCU.W.Gill.N. RNAcentral's name for it is "bacterial SSU rRNA". It matches the Rfam family "Bacterial small subunit ribosomal RNA", at positions 60 to 718 of the family's 1533-position model. Lineage: Bacteria; Pseudomonadati; Bacteroidota; Flavobacteriia; Flavobacteriales; Flavobacteriaceae. The record is from RNAcentral. RNAcentral also lists the same sequence under 1 other name.
AGUCGAGGGGUAUAGUUCUUCGGAAUUAGAGACCGGCGCACGGGUGCGUAACGCGUAUGCAAUCUACCUUUUACAGAGGGAUAGCCCAGAGAAAUUUGGAUUAAUACCUCAUAGUAUAAUGACUUGGCAUCAAGACAUUAUUAAAGUCACAACGGUAAAAGAUGAGCAUGCGUCCCAUUAGCUAGUUGGUAAGGUAACGGCUUACCAAGGCUACGAUGGGUAGGGGUCCUGAGAGGGAGAUCCCCCACACUGGUACUGAGACACGGACCAGACUCCUACGGGAGGCAGCAGUGAGGAAUAUUGGACAAUGGGCGCAAGCCUGAUCCAGCCAUGCCGCGUGCAGGAUGACGGUCCUAUGGAUUGUAAACUGCUUUUAUACGAGAAGAAACACUACUUCGUGAAGUAGCUUGACGGUAUCGUAAGAAUAAGGAUCGGCUAACUCCGUGCCAGCAGCCGCGGUAAUACGGAGGAUCCAAGCGUUAUCCGGAAUCAUUGGGUUUAAAGGGUCCGUAGGCGGUUUAGUAAGUCAGUGGUGAAAGCCCAUCGCUCAACGGUGGAACGGCCAUUGAUACUGCUGAACUUGAAUUAUUAGGAAGUAACUAGAAUAUGUAGUGUAGCGGUGAAAUGCUUAGAGAUUACAUGGAAUACCAAUUGCGA